RNAcentral lists this ribosomal RNA (429 nucleotides) under Gemmatimonadota bacterium. Its description in RNAcentral is "Gemmatimonadetes bacterium partial 16S ribosomal RNA". It matches the Rfam family "Bacterial small subunit ribosomal RNA", at positions 355 to 776 of the family's 1533-position model. Lineage: Bacteria; Pseudomonadati; Gemmatimonadota. The record is from RNAcentral.
UAGGGAAUCUUCGGCAAUGGACGAAAGCCUGACCGAGCAACGCCGCGUGAGUGAAGAAGGUUUUCGGAUCGUAAAACUCUGUUGUUAGAGAAGAACAAGGACGUUAGUAACUGAACGUCCCCUGACGGUAUCUAACCAGAAAGCCACGGCUAACUACGUGCCAGCAGCCGCGGUAAUACGUAGGUGGCAAGCGUUGUCCGGAUUUAUUGGGCGUAAAGCGAGCGCAGGCGGUUUCUUAAGUCUGAUGGGAAAGCCCCCGGCUCAACCGGGGAGGGUCAUUGGAAACGGGGAGACUUGAGUGCAGAAGAGGAUAGUGGAAUUCCAUGUGUAGCGGUGAAAUGCGUAGAUAUAUGGAGGAACACCAGUGGCGAAGGCGGCUCUCUGGUCUGUAACUGACGCUGAGGCUCGAAAGCGUGGGGAGCAAACAGG